Molecule: non-coding RNA, 714 nt
Organism: Equus caballus (horse)
Lineage: Eukaryota; Metazoa; Chordata; Mammalia; Perissodactyla; Equidae
Source: RefSeq, a predicted model, not a curated record
AACACUAUAGCUUCUAAAAUGAAUUACAUAUUAAAAAAACCACUAUGGAAAAUACUAGAGUUCUAGGACAAGGCAUAUGUUGAAAUUCAUUAUUCAGAACAUUCUAGAAUAGUACUUUAAAAGAAUGUGAACAUUCUUUGUGGCUUGCACCAGUUCCUGACAUUUCAGAAGAUGCUGGAUAUUGAUUAUGAGAAUAAAAGAAGAAUAAGGACUAGAGAGGAUUCAUAUUGAUUUGCAAGAUGAUAAUCUCAUUCUAUUAGAUCAGCACUGACAUAUGAAGAGGAAUCUGAAGAACUGGUCAGGUUAAAAUCAUUAUGGAGUAACAGCCAAUCAAUACCCUCGUUACAUCAAAGGCUGACUCACUCUGAAAUUGCUUCUAUCAUCUUUUUACUUCCUAUUCCUAUGGGAUGUACUUUUUGCUCUCAUCAUGAAUGCCUUCUUGGCCUUACCUGUAUCUUUCUUUGUGGCUUUAUGGUAGUUCUGUGAGAUGCGGAUCCUAAAUUAGUUGUGUUCUUGCUGGCACCCUGGACUCUCCUUGGUUCUGGACUACUGACCCCACACCACACCAAGUUAUCAAUUGCUAUGCUCAGAUGGUGGAAGAAGCCACAUAUCCAUGCUGAUCCACAGAGCAGAAAUCUCUACUUUCUAACCACAAGUGAGCCCUCAAUAUUAUGAGAAAAACACUGAAUUAUAUGGAAAUUAUCUUAUCCCAAA